GGCCCGUUCGUCUAGCGGCUAGGACGCCGCCCUCUCAAGGCGGUAACAGGGGUUCGAUUCCCCUACGGGCUACCA
Molecule: transfer RNA, 75 nt
Filed under: Fidelibacterota bacterium
Lineage: Bacteria; Pseudomonadati; Fidelibacterota
Description: tRNA-Glu
Rfam family: tRNA
About the family: Transfer RNA (tRNA) molecules are approximately 80 nucleotides in length.
Source: RNAcentral